AACGCACCUUGCGCCCUUUGGUAUUCCGAAGGGCAUGCCUGUUUGAGUGUCAUGAAAACAUCAUCCCCCCGGGUUUCCGGUGGUGAUGGACUUGGGUGCUGCCAGUCAUGGCUCGCCUUAAAAGCCUUAGUGGUUCCAUGUUGAAUCUGGCGUAAUACGUUUCGCUGGCCUAGACGGAAGACUGCUUCUAACCUGUCUACUAGACAUUUUUUGCUCUGACCUCAAAUCAGGUAGGACUACCCGCUGAACUUAA
RNAcentral lists this unclassified non-coding RNA (253 nucleotides) under uncultured fungus. Its description in RNAcentral is "partial contains 5.8S ribosomal RNA, internal transcribed spacer 2, and large subunit ribosomal RNA". The stretch from base 1 to 52 matches the Rfam family "5.8S ribosomal RNA", at positions 103 to 154 of the family's 154-position model. Lineage: Eukaryota; Fungi. The record is from RNAcentral.